Molecule: ribosomal RNA, 253 nt
Filed under: uncultured bacterium
Lineage: Bacteria
Description: partial 16S ribosomal RNA
Rfam family: Bacterial small subunit ribosomal RNA
Source: RNAcentral
UACAGAGGUGGCAAGCGUUGUUCGGAAUUACUGGGCGUAAAGGGCGCGUAGGCGGUUGAUUAAGUCCCGUGUGAAAUCCCUCGGCUCAACUGAGGAACUGCACGGGAAACUGGCCGACUUGAGUUCGGGAGAGGGAAGCGGAAUUCCGGGUGUAGCGGUGAAAUGCGUAGAUAUCCGGAGGAACACCGGUGGCGAAGGCGACUUUCUGGUCUGUAACUGACACUGAGGCGCGAAAGCGUGGGGAGCAAACAGG